Molecule: ribosomal RNA, 492 nt
Filed under: uncultured bacterium
Lineage: Bacteria
Description: partial 16S ribosomal RNA
Rfam family: Bacterial small subunit ribosomal RNA
Source: RNAcentral
AGUGAACGCUGGCGGUAGGCCUAACACAUGCAAGUCGAACGGCAGCACAGUAAGAGCUUGCUCUUACGGGUGGCGAGUGGCGGACGGGUGAGGAAUACAUCGGAAUCUACUUUUUCGUGGGGGAUAACGUAGGGAAACUUACGCUAAUACCGCAUACGACCUACGGGUGAAAGCAGGGGAUCUUCGGACCUUGCGCGAUUGAAUGAGCCGAUGUCGGAUUAGCUAGUUGGCGGGGUAAAGGCCCACCAAGGCGACGAUCCGUAGCUGGUCUGAGAGGAUGAUCCAGCCCAAUUGAAAUGAGACACGGUCCAGACUCCUACGGGAGGGAACCGGGGGGAAUAUUUGACCAAGGGCGCAAACCUGAUCCAGGCCAAACCGGGUGGUUGAGAAGGCCCUCCGGGUGUAAAGCCCUUUUGUUGGGAAAGAAAAGCAGCAGGUUAAUACCCCGCUGUUCUGACGGUACCCAAAGAAUAAGCACCGGCUAACUUCGUG